GUGCCGCCGCCGCGGUAAUACCCGCAGCCCAAGUGGUGGUCGAUUUUAUUGAGUCUAAAACGUUCGUAGCCGGUUUGAUAAAUCCUUGGGUAAAUCGAGAGGCUUAACUUUUCGAAUUCCGAGGAGACUGUCAAACUCGGGACCGGGAGAGGCGAGAGGUACUUCUGGGGUAGGGGUAAAAUCCUGUAAUCCUAGAAGGACCACCGGUGGCGAAGGCGUCUCGCUAGAACGGAUCCGACGGUGAGGGACGAAGCCCUGGGUCGCAAACGGGAUUAGAUACCCCGGUAGUCCAGGGUGUAAACGCUGCAGACUUGGUGUUGGGGACCCUACGUGGGUGUUCAGUGCCGGAGAGAAGUUGUUAAGUCUGCUACUUGGGGAGUACGUCCGCAAGGAUGAAACUUAAAGGAAUUGGCGGGGGAGCACCGCAACGGGAGGAGCGUGCGGUUUAAUUGGAUUCAACACCGGAAAACUCACCAGCGGCGACUGUUACAUGAAAGUCAGGCCGAUGACCUUACUAGAUUUUCAGAGAGGUGGUGCAUGGCCGUCGUCAGUUCGUACCGUAAGGCGUUCUCUUAAGUGAGAUAACGAACGAGACCCUCAUCUAUAGUUGCUAUCCGGUCCUCCGGGGCCGGAGCACACUAUCGAGACCGCUGGCGCUAAGUCAGAGGAAGGAGAGGUCAACGGUAGGUCAGUAUGCCCCGAAUCUGCUGGGCUACACGCGCGCUACAAAGGGCGGGACAAUGGGCUCCGACGCCGAAAGGCGAAGGUAAUCUCGAAACCCGUCCGUAGUUCGGAUUGAGGGUUGUAACUCACCCUCAUGAAGCUGGAUUCCGUAGUAAUCGCGAAUCAACAACUCGCGGUGAAUAUGCCCCUGCUCCUUGCACACACCGCCCGU
RNAcentral lists this ribosomal RNA (895 nucleotides) under uncultured bacterium. RNAcentral's name for it is "bacterial SSU rRNA". It matches the Rfam family "Archaeal small subunit ribosomal RNA", at positions 455 to 1353 of the family's 1478-position model. The record is from RNAcentral.